Molecule: long non-coding RNA, 742 nt
Filed under: Populus tremula
Lineage: Eukaryota; Viridiplantae; Streptophyta; Magnoliopsida; Malpighiales; Salicaceae
Description: long non-coding RNA (PTRE_LNC000969)
Source: RNAcentral
GUUGUUAGAUAUAUGUGGAUUGUGAUCUCCAAUCUCUUUAAUGUCUUUCAGCUUUUGAAUUGGCACAUGCAUAAAUUUCAUGAACAUGACGAAGAUAAAAGUUUUGACUAAUGUAGUCUCUUUGUUCGCUUAAAUUUAUUGGGAUGCUGGAGAAGACAAUUGAUGAUGGCUAAAGAUACUCUGAGGGUGGAAACUCUGUGCUAUAGUGUGCCCUUGUGCCAGGAAAUCACCUUUCCCUAACCAUUGCCAGAUGUAAAGAUGCAAGGUAAUCGGUGGAUUUUGUUUUUCGAAAUUCAUUUAUCUGGAGAAAAUCGCGAACUUAAAAUCCUUUAUCUGUUUAUUGUUCUUUUCAAAUUCAUUUCUACUCAUUUCUUUUUUGUCAGAAAUUUAUUUGAAAAAAAAGUAGCAGCAGGUUAAAAUGAGAUUCUCAUCACAAAUUUUGAUCUCUCCUUUAUCAGGUAAAACCUUGAUUAUUUUUUUUCUGUGCUUUGAUAUAAAUCAUUAUGUCCUCUAAUUCACUUUAUUUAAAUUGAUUUAUCAAAUUUGUGUUCUAAUUUAAUGAUGAAAUUUAUCAUUAUGUGUUAUAGUGUGCCCUUGUGCCAGGAAAUCACCUUUCCCUAACCAUUGCCAGAUGUAAAGAUGCAAGGUAAUCGGUGGAUUUUGUUUUUCGAAAUUCAUUUAUCUGGAGAAAAUCGCGAACUUAAAAUCCUUUAUCUGUUUAUUGUUCUUUUCAAAUUCAUUU